GACGAACGCUGGCGGCGUGCUUAACACAUGCAAGUCGAACGGAAAGGCCCUGCUGUUGUGGGGUUCUCGAGUGGCGAACGGGUGAGUAACAAGUGAGUAACCUGCCCUUGACUUUGGGAUAACUUCAGGAAACUGGGGCUAAUACCGGAUAGGAGCUCCUGCUGCAUGGUGGGGGUUGGAAAGUUUCGGCGGGUGGGGAUGGACUCGCGGCUUAUCAGAUUGUUGGGGGGGUAGUGGCUUACCAAGGCUUUGACGGGUAGCCGGCCUGAGAGGGUGACCGGCCACAUUGGGACUGAGAUACGGCGCAGACUCCUACGGGAGGCAGCAGUGGGGAAUAUUGCACAAUGGGCGGAAGCCUGAUGCAGCAACGCCGCGUGCGGGAUGACGGCCUUCGGGUUGUAAACCGCUUUCGCCUGUGACGAAGCGUGAGUGACGGUAAUGGGUAAAGAAGCACCGGCUAACUACGUG
Molecule: ribosomal RNA, 468 nt
Filed under: uncultured bacterium
Lineage: Bacteria
Description: partial 16S ribosomal RNA
Rfam family: Bacterial small subunit ribosomal RNA
Source: RNAcentral